GGACUACCCGGGUAUCUAAUCCUGUUUGCUCCCCACGCUUUCGCACAUCAGCGUCAGUACCGGGCCAGUGAGCCGCCUUCGCCACUGGUGUUCUUGCGAAUAUCUACGAAUUUCACCUCUACACUCGCAGUUCCACUCACCUCUCCCGGACUCAAGAUCGCCAGUAUCGAGGGCAGUUCUGGAGUUGAGCUCCAGGAUUUCACCCCCGACUUAGCAACCCGCCUACGUGCGCUUUACGCCCAGUGAUUCCGAGCAACGCUAGCCCCCUUCGUAUUACCGCGGCUGCUGGCAC
Molecule: ribosomal RNA, 292 nt
Filed under: uncultured Alphaproteobacteria bacterium
Lineage: Bacteria; Pseudomonadati; Pseudomonadota; Alphaproteobacteria
Description: partial 16S ribosomal RNA
Source: RNAcentral